CAUUCUCUUCAUCCUUGUUCCUCCCAUCACCAUGGCUGCUGCUGCUGCUGUUCUGCCCAUUUCAGCCACCCAUUCAGCCCGUUCGUCUCGUCUUUCUUAGGACGAUGCCGUCCCUGACGAGGUGACGAUGCCCGGCCCGACGGGGUGACAAUGCCUGACGAGGUUAGAAGACCGUUGGCCUGAUGCGUUUUACGCGGGCGCGGUAGUGGUGGAAGAGUUGAGAAGGAGCGGGAAUUGACUUGAGGUGCGAAGUUUGAGAAAGUGAUGCAUGGUGUGAGUAGUGUGCGAGUGUGUUUGUAUCACGUGAUGUGAUGCUUAAUUAUGGGGUAGAAACUGCUAGGCACGGUAUGGGACGUGCCCAAGUGGUUUCUAUCUUAUAAUUAAGGCACGCGCGCGUCUGUGAUGUAUUACUGUGAGGUGCUGGCUGUAUUAUGAUCUAACGUGCAGGAAUGUGCAUGAUGGAUUCCAGGUAGGGGCGUGUGUGGUUGGUAGUUUGAUUGAUUGUCGUAUGUUAUGCGUGUUUUCGUCUGGCGGUACGUGAGUGUCUACGUGGGGUUUGGGGUUGUACACUUAUUGAGAUUCGUCUCAUAGUUGUAUAAUCCACAAUUUCAGACCCCCAGCCGUAAACCCAGGGAACCGCCUCCUCUUUUUGAAGUGCGAAGAGUCGCUUUUGGUGCCCGGUGAAACUACAGGUGAGUGUCCGGAGGCUCAAGCC
Long non-coding RNA from Syzygium oleosum, 715 nucleotides. RefSeq lists it as uncharacterized. The record is from RefSeq and is a predicted model, not a curated record. The transcript is spliced from 2 exons. Lineage: Eukaryota; Viridiplantae; Streptophyta; Magnoliopsida; Myrtales; Myrtaceae.